RNAcentral lists this ribosomal RNA (253 nucleotides) under uncultured bacterium. Its description in RNAcentral is "partial 16S ribosomal RNA". It matches the Rfam family "Bacterial small subunit ribosomal RNA", at positions 524 to 776 of the family's 1533-position model. The record is from RNAcentral.
UACAGAGGGUGCGAGCGUUAAUCGGAAUUACUGGGCGUAAAGCGCGCGUAGGCGGCUUUGCAAGUCGGGUGUGAAAUCCCCAAGCUUAACUUGGGAACUGCAUUCGAGACUGCAUUGCUAGAGUAUGGGAGAGGGAAGUGGAAUUUCCGGUGUAGCGGUGAAAUGCGUAGAUAUGCGGAGGAACACCGAUGGCGAAGGCAAUCUCCUGGGCCUGCACUGACGCUCAUGCACGAAAGCGUGGGGAGCAAACAGG